AGCUGGCCUCCAGGGGCAUGUGCACACCCUGAUCACAUCCACCUCCCACACCUGUGCACCACCUGUAGCUUGGGAUGAUCACGGGGCCCUGAUGGGCAACGAAGGCCCUCGUCUAUGAAUAUUUUCACACACGCUCAAAGUAUGACAGAAUGUAUAUCAUAUUGCGUCUGAUAAACGUGACAAAUACAACUUUCAACAACGGAUCUCUUGGCUCUCGCAUCGAUGAAGAACGCAGCGAAAUGCGAUAAGUAAUGUGAAUUGCAGAAUUCAGUGAAUCAUCGAAUCUUUGAACGCACCUUGCGCUCCUUGGUAUUCCGAGGAGCAUGCCUGUUUGAGUGUCAUGAAAUUCUCAACUGCCUCAGGCUUUGUUGCUUGCGGGUGAAGUUGGACUUGGAGGUAUGCUGGCGCAUGAAUGGGCUUUGUGCCUGUCUUGCUUGUUGGCUCCUCUCGAAUGCAUGAGCUUUCCAAUCCUUGGAAAGUAUCGUCGAUGUGAUAAUUG
RNAcentral lists this ribosomal RNA (499 nucleotides) under uncultured Tomentellopsis. RNAcentral describes it as "eukaryotic LSU rRNA". The stretch from base 188 to 341 matches the Rfam family "5.8S ribosomal RNA". The record is from RNAcentral. Lineage: Eukaryota; Fungi; Basidiomycota; Agaricomycetes; Thelephorales; Thelephoraceae.